Molecule: ribosomal RNA, 469 nt
Filed under: uncultured bacterium
Lineage: Bacteria
Description: partial 16S ribosomal RNA
Rfam family: Bacterial small subunit ribosomal RNA
Source: RNAcentral
GACGAACGCUGGCGGCGUGCUUAACACAUGCAAGUCGAACGGAAAGGCCCUGCUUGCAGGGUGCUCGAGUGGCGAACGGGUGAGUAACACGUGGGUGAUCUGCCCCUUACUUUGGGAUAAGCCUGGGAAACUGGGUCUAAUACUGGAUAGGACCAUGCUGUAGGUGGUGUGGUGGAAAGAUUAGUUUCGGUAAGGGAUGAGCUCGCGGCCUAUCAGCUUGUUGGUGGGGUAAUGGCCUACCAAGGCGUCGACGGGUAGCCGGCCUGAGAGGGUGGACGGCCACAUUGGGACUGGGAUACGGCCCAGACUCCUACGGGAGGCAGCAGUGGGGAAUAUUGCACAAUGGGCGAAAGCCUGAUGCAGCGACGCCGCGUGAGGGAUGACGGCCUUCGGGUUGUAAACUCCUUUCAGCCAUGACGAAGCCCUUGUGGUGACGGUAGUGGUAGAAGAAGCACCGGCUAACUACGUG